This 309-nucleotide unclassified non-coding RNA is filed under the name Hevea brasiliensis (rubber tree). Lineage: Eukaryota; Viridiplantae; Streptophyta; Magnoliopsida; Malpighiales; Euphorbiaceae. The record is from RNAcentral.
CGGAGGAGGAGCCAACGGGUCAAGGGCCACCAGCUGGUUCCGCUUCGGCGGUAAGGAUGCAGAGGGUGCCGGCAUCUAUGGCAGCCAGUCCCGUGACGAUUUUGAUCGGGACGACGUCGAACAGUAUUUCAAUUAUAUGGGAAUGCUUGCAGUCGAGGGUACAUACGAUAAGAUGGAAGCACUUUUGAAUCAGAACAUUCACCCGGUGGAUAUCUUGUUGCUGUUGGCAUCAUCAGAGGGCGAUAUACCGAAAAUCGAGGAGUUGUUGAGAGCUGGUGCAAACUAUACUAUCAAAGAUGCAGAAGGAAG